AAUGAGGUUGUUGUAAAAGCUAAAAAUAGUGGGAGAAAAGUCCUUCUGUGAACACUAAACAACAAUAACCCACCUCCCUCUGCCUCAGAAAGCUCCAAAGCUGUAUGCCCUUUGCUAGAGGCUGGAGAUGCAUGAUGUGCUAUGUGCUUUUCUAACUCUUAUAUUCUUCUGUUGGCUGUUACAAAACCAGGAUAUUGGGCUGGUGGACUUUAGCCUUGAACUCUUGUGACCACUCAUACGUGGGUAUUAUCCUAAAUUGGACAUAACUGAGUGAAGGCUGUGUUGCCAGCAGCAGAAGCCAGAUCUAAAGAAAGGAGACAAGUGCCUUGCUGUAUGGAUGUCAGAUUCCACUGGAAGUCAGCAAGUGAACCCCUGAUCUGGUCAGAGCUGUUGGUGGAGUGGUAUAAGCCUCCCGUGGAUGAAACACACCCAGCCAAACGCAGUCCAAGUGUCCUUACCUGUGCAGCUCCUCUUGUAGCAAAGGUAGCAGUUGCAGCUACGAAAAUGGAGCCCCUCCCAGAGCUGAGCCCAGGCCUGGGGAGAACACAGAUCACCAGGACUUCUGCUGGCUGGGCUCUGCUGUGCACUCCUUUGGCCUUCCCUUCCACCAGGGAGCUGUAGCAUCCAGUGUCCUCACCUGUGCAAGACUCCUCCUAUGUGCUCUCCUAACACCCCCGCUCCCAGAACAGCCCCUGCUGCUGGUUUCUCCAGAAGAGCGGGGUUCACGCCCCAUCCAGGCCUCCUUAGGGGGUUGAAGCACUGCUG
This 765-nucleotide long non-coding RNA is filed under the name Gallus gallus (chicken). RNAcentral describes it as "lncRNA (ENSGALG00010022940.1)". Lineage: Eukaryota; Metazoa; Chordata; Aves; Galliformes; Phasianidae. The record is from RNAcentral.